UAGAGGAAGUAAAAGUCGUAACAAGGUUUCCGUAGGUGAACCUGCGGAAGGAUCAUUAUUGAAUUUUGAAUGGGGUUGUAGCUGGCCUUCCGGGCAUGUGCACGCCCCACUCAUUCCAAAUUCUCAUACACCUGUGCACAUCCUGUAGGUUUGGUUUGAGUUGCGGUCUCUUCGCGGAGAUUGUGGCUCGGCCUUUCCUAUGUUAUAUAUAUAAACUCUAUACAGUCUGCAGAAUGUAAACCGCGUUUAACGCAUUAAAUACAACUUUCAGCAACGGAUCUCUUGGUUCUCGCAUCGAUGAAGAACGCAGCGAAAUGCGAUAAGUAAUGUGAAUUGCAGAAUUCAGUGAAUCAUCGAAUCUUUGAACGCACCUUGCGCUCCUUGGUAUUCCGAGGAGCAUGCCUGUUUGAGUGUCAUGGAAUUCUCAACCCCCAUCACCUUUGUUGGUGGUGUGUGGGCUUGGAUUUUGGAGGUUUUCUGCCGGACGGUCAAACGUUCGGCUCCUCUUGAAUGCAUUAGCUUGGACCUCUGUGUAUCUUGCUCAAUCCGGUGUGAUAGUUUUGUCUACGCCGGAGGGUUUACACUCUGUGAGGGUUUGGGCUUCCAAUCGUCCUUUCGGACAAUUGUUUUUUUGACCUCUGACCUCAAAUCAGGUAGGAUUACCCGCUGAACUUAAGCAUAUCAA
This 685-nucleotide ribosomal RNA is filed under the name Laricifomes officinalis. RNAcentral's name for it is "eukaryotic LSU rRNA". The stretch from base 263 to 416 matches the Rfam family "5.8S ribosomal RNA". The record is from RNAcentral. Lineage: Eukaryota; Fungi; Basidiomycota; Agaricomycetes; Polyporales; Laricifomitaceae.